AGGACGAACGCUGGCGGCGUGCCUAAUGCAUGCAAGUCGAGCGACGAAUAGGUGCGGGUAACCAAGCCUAUUACGGAGCGGCGAACGGGUGAGUAACACGUGAGCAACCUGCCCCGAAGACCGGGAUAGCCCAGGGAAACUUGGAUUAAUACCGGAUAUCCUCCUUUGAUCGCAUGGUCGUUGGAAGAAAUGCUUUUACGCUUCGGGAUGGGCUCGCGGCCUAUCAGCUUGUUGGUGGGGUAACGGCCUACCAAGGCGUCGACGGGUAGCUGGUCUGAGAGGACGAUCAGCCACACUGGGACUGAGACACGGCCCAGACUCCGUACGGGAGGCAGCAGCAGGGAAUUUGCGCAAUGGGCGAAAGCCUGACGCAGCAACGCCGCGUGGGGAUGGAGGCCGUUCGGGUUCGUAACCCGUUUAGGAGGUACGAAGUUGACGGUACUCCGAAGAAACGCCCGACCAACUACGUGCCAGCGAGCCGC
RNAcentral lists this ribosomal RNA (482 nucleotides) under uncultured soil bacterium. RNAcentral's name for it is "bacterial SSU rRNA". It matches the Rfam family "Bacterial small subunit ribosomal RNA", at positions 26 to 518 of the family's 1533-position model. The record is from RNAcentral.